UACGUAGGGUGCGAGCGUUGUCCGGAAUUACUGGGCGUAAAGAGCUCGUAGGUGGUUUGUCACGUCGUCUGUGAAAUUCCGGGGCUUAACCUCGGGCGUGCAGGCGAUACGGGCAAUACUUGAGUGCUGUAGGGGAGACUGGAAUUCCUGGUGUAGCGGUGAAAUGCGCAGAUAUCAGGAGGAACACCAAUGGCGAAGGCAGGUCUCUGGGCAGUUACUGACGCUGAGGCACGAAAGCGUGGGGAGCGAACAGGAUUAGAUA
This 262-nucleotide ribosomal RNA is filed under the name uncultured prokaryote. Its description in RNAcentral is "partial 16S ribosomal RNA". It matches the Rfam family "Bacterial small subunit ribosomal RNA", at positions 524 to 784 of the family's 1533-position model. The record is from RNAcentral.